AUCCAGCUGGUGAAUCCCAAAUAGGACGAAAUGCGCAUUAUCAUGGAU
RNAcentral lists this non-coding RNA (48 nucleotides) under Trichobilharzia regenti. The record is from RNAcentral. Lineage: Eukaryota; Metazoa; Platyhelminthes; Trematoda; Strigeidida; Schistosomatidae.